CCUCAAAGUGCAGAAGAGUCAGCAUAGCGUCUUCCUUGCUUGGUGCUAUGGGAGGCAGCCAUCUGGCCAAAUGGAGGAGACAGGCUGCAUUCUCCGUAUUUUGUACAUCAUGUUCCCUGGAGAGGUGGUAUGCUUCUUCUCUUCCUAUGAGUACCUGAGCCAGGUACAUGCACAAUGAGACAAGACUGACCUGCUGGCACAUUUGUCUGUCAAGAAAAAGGUGAGUGCCUGGUAGUCUGUUUAUGAGGACAUUGCUACCUGCAACUCUUCCUAGGGCCCCUCAGUCUUGUGGAAUUGGCAUGGUCCGGAUUCUCCCAGCUUCUAAAUCUACCAAGUCUAGGCCUGGGACACUGGGUGCGGGGAUUCCCCAAAGCUUGAUUACAUGUUCCAUGCUCAGGCUCAAAACCAAGACUGAGGCUCAAGACUGAGUAUUUUGAAGCCUUUUGCUGGGUGACCUUCUUCCUUCAGUUAUUCCAAGAACCCAAGAGAGCAAGUCAGGUGGAGCAGGUGCUGACGGCGUAUUCCAAGUGCAUUACGUGCUGCAUUCAGGCAGGAGGCCAUCUGACAGGGGCCUUGCUCCUCUCUGUGGUUGGAGGGGAGAAGAGUGAA
This is a long non-coding RNA of Peromyscus eremicus (cactus mouse), 609 nucleotides long. RefSeq lists it as uncharacterized. The record is from RefSeq and is a predicted model, not a curated record. NCBI's taxonomy places the organism in Eukaryota, Metazoa, Chordata, Mammalia, Rodentia, Cricetidae. The transcript has 3 exons.